This 254-nucleotide ribosomal RNA is filed under the name uncultured bacterium. RNAcentral describes it as "partial 16S ribosomal RNA". It matches the Rfam family "Bacterial small subunit ribosomal RNA", at positions 524 to 776 of the family's 1533-position model. The record is from RNAcentral.
UACGUAGGGUGCAAGCGUUUGUCCGGAAUUAUUGGGCGUAAAGAGCUCGUAGGCGGUUUGUCGCGUCUGCUGUGAAAACCCGAGGCUCAACCUCGGGCCUGCAGUGGGUACGGGCAGACUAGAGUGCGGUAGGGGAGAUUGGAAUUCCUGGUGUAGCGGUGGAAUGCGCAGAUAUCAGGAGGAACACCGGUGGCGAAGGCGGGUCUCUGGGCCGAUACUGACGCUGAGGAGCGAAAGCGUGGGGAGCAAACAGG